GGGAGGAUGGGAGCACCAGAAAGGCCAGUCAUGAUGUUGAUGACUAAGAAACAGCAGGUCCUUCCAAAGACCAGGGCUUCCUUGUGUUCUUCUGUCAGCUCUGAGGCACAGUGCCGAUAAGAAAGGCCAGGAGACCAGCAAAGAGAGAAAACACCCAGGGCCCAGAGGAAUUCAGGAACAAGUUUCAAGGCAGAACUGGAACAACCAGACUUGGUGAUGCAAAUUCCCGACACUGGAUGAGUCAGGGGAAGGGGCAGGACUUGCACGCAGGCCCCGGACAGUUGAUCCCAGACUUUACAAAAAAGAAAAACAGAAGAUGACCCCUUGCUGAAGCUGGACAGGAGCAAUUGGAGAGCUAGCGGAGUGGAUUCCCCUGUUGCACAAGAGAACAUCAAAGACACUUCUUCUAGAAGCACAUCUUCAUCCAUAACUCCUAUGUUGAAAGAAUAAACCACUGAAGGUUGUCAGGGUGCUUUAACUGAUAAGCUUUCAUCCAUAAGACCAGGUUGACCUAAUUGACUUCCUGUUUUUACAUCACAUGGACCAUCUAUUAAUUGCCAUAAAGAAUGCACAUGUGGGUAAUUCUAAACUACACAUUGGCCCACAUCAUGCCUGGGCCUCAACUUUUUUAGUCACCGGGUAGUGCCUACAGAAGAGAACAUUAAACAUCCUUAGGCUGGCACUUCGUGCUAGCUUCAACCUUCUCCAUCUCCAAACCACUGCUCCUCUCUCACACAACCGAGCUUUCUGUACUCUCCUUUUCUCUAAAUUCCCAUCAGGCUAACUCCUCCCUGACCUUCAAGAUUUAGGCCGUGCCUUAUUUCAUCUUAAAAACAGCUUCCAACACCUCUUGCCCAUCUCCAACCCCCAGUCCCUCUCUGUUCCCCCACUGGCUUGUCCUACAUCUGUUCACAGACCUCAGCACACAUUCUGUCAUGCCUGUCACCCCUGACCAGGACCUUCUCAAGGACUGGCUCCCAGGACUGUAUCCCCAGAACCAAACAUAUAGUCUAGCCCAAGGCAGAGACAUUCAGGAAGGGUCUGAUGGAUGAAAGAGUCUUAAUCAUACUGUUAGCUGACUUUGGGUAGAUUAAAGCUCCAAACAAAGGAAUUUUUUCAUUUUAAGAAAUCACGUCUCAUGGAACUUCAGGAUCAAUUUCAUUUAAUGCCUGAAGCUGUGUCUGCUGACAUCGUUCUUAGUUUAAACUAUGGUUUUAUAAAUAGUCUGCAGGUCUCUAAUCCAUCAAUUCAUAUUGUCCAGCAAGGCGGGGAUCACCACACCCCAAAGCCACGAAUUUCAUGCCUUCCACUGGGUCUGGAACACAGCAACUUGGGAAGCAGAAGGGAGGAACGGUUUCUUCCCUUUCCAGCAGACCUUUCUGAGCUUCUGUGUGUUGUUGAAAUGAGAGACACUGAGAGAUGAAACCACAAACCAAAAGUUACACCCUUGGGUCUGAAAGGUUUGGACAGACACUAGUGUUUCUGGAAAACAAAGAGAAUCCACAAACAUGAGAAUGUAGGGAUGGAUGUUUGCACACAACGGAAGGCACGUUCUAAAAGUGCAUUUGCCAACCGCUUAAUUAAAUGUUUCUCAAUAUUUGAUGAGAAUUCAUAUCAGACACAGGGCUUUGACUGGAGGGAAGGGGCUCACGCGCACUCAGAAGAAGUCUAGCAGAUCCACACUUCCACAGAUGAGCCAAACAAAGCAUAAAAACAAAACUCCAAUGGUCAUUUUCCCUAUACAUCACAUCCUGGUAGAAUUCCCACCUCUUAAGAGGAAACCUCCGUUACCACAUAAGAAAAAAAAAAAAAGUUUUUAAUUUCAUUCCAGUUUUUAAACGAGUCCAAACUAAAACAAAGAUUUUAUGACUCUCUCAGUCUGCCAUGCGGAUUUCCGCCUCUGACAAAUGCCAGGAAUCCUUGUGGCUACUUUAGAUGUUCAAACCAUUUAUUAAGAGUGAGAGAGUGCCAUGUCGGAAACCGGGCUCCAGAAAGGUAGCUGAGGCCACCACUUUGGACUCCAGCCAGAAGAAGACUUCUUGGCAACAAAGUGGGCAGUUUUAGGAACUGCACAAUUGUUUAAACUCUCCUGUGCAGUUCAAGAAAAGUAUUUUCAGUGGCAAGGAGGUGCCAUAGAGCUGCAAAUACAGAUGGAAGUAUUUUUUCCAGAUCAUUAUAUUAUACUGAAAAUGAAAACUAAAACCCAAUAAAAUGCUGCCA
Lutra lutra (Eurasian river otter) is the source of this 2220-nucleotide long non-coding RNA. RefSeq lists it as uncharacterized. The transcript has 3 exons. The record is from RefSeq and is a predicted model, not a curated record. NCBI's taxonomy places the organism in Eukaryota, Metazoa, Chordata, Mammalia, Carnivora, Mustelidae.